This is a long non-coding RNA of Perca flavescens (yellow perch), 395 nucleotides long. RefSeq lists it as uncharacterized. Lineage: Eukaryota; Metazoa; Chordata; Actinopteri; Perciformes; Percidae. The transcript has 4 exons. The record is from RefSeq and is a predicted model, not a curated record.
AAUGACUCGACCAGGCGCGCAGAAACGACAUGAAAAACAAAUUUCUAAUGUUUCUACACGAAGAAGGUAUAAUUUCAGUUUUACAAACGAGUGGAAUCAUUGCGCACAUUUUAGGGCACCGACUGACUGACGUGCAAAUCCAACAUGACGGAUUCACAAUAUGAUGUCCAUGUGGGCGUCACGCUGUCUGCACUCAGUGGCUCAGACCAGGUGGGUCAGUUCUCAGCCAACGUCUUGUAAUGGCCUUCUUAGCCGCAAGAGAAAGGAUCUUAAACAGGUCUUGUCUAGCAUUCCUGGUCUGACCCUGGAGGUAUAAGAAGGCCAAAUCAACAGACCGACCUGUGGCCCUUUGGUGCAUGUCAUUCCCCUGCUCGAUGGUGUUUUAAGCCCCCAAC